Molecule: ribosomal RNA, 253 nt
Filed under: uncultured bacterium
Lineage: Bacteria
Description: partial 16S ribosomal RNA
Rfam family: Bacterial small subunit ribosomal RNA
Source: RNAcentral
UACGGGGGGGGCAAGCGUUGUUCGGAAUUACUGGGCGUAAAGGGCUCGUAGGUGGCCAACUAAGUCUGACGUGAAAUCCCCAGGCUCAACUUGGGAACUGCGUCUGAUACUGGAUGGCUUGAAUUCGGGAGAGGGAUGCAGAAUUCCAGGUGUAGCGGUGAAAUGCGUAGAUAUCUGGAGGAAUACCGGUGGCGAAGGCGGCAUCCUGGACCGAGAUUGACACUGAUGAGCGAAAGCGAGGGGAGCAAACGGG